RNAcentral lists this unclassified non-coding RNA (304 nucleotides) under plant metagenome. RNAcentral's name for it is "partial contains 5.8S ribosomal RNA, internal transcribed spacer 2, and large subunit ribosomal RNA". The stretch from base 1 to 105 matches the Rfam family "5.8S ribosomal RNA", at positions 50 to 154 of the family's 154-position model. The record is from RNAcentral.
GAAAUGCGAUAAGUAAUGUGAAUUGCAGAAUUCCGUGAAUCAUCGAAUCUUUGAACGCACAUUGCGCCCCCUGGCAUUCCGGGGGGCAUGCCUGUCCGAGCGUCAUUUCUGCCCUCAAGCACGGCUUGUGUGUUGGGUGUGGUCCCCCCGGGGACCUGCCCGAAAGGCAGCGGCGACGUCCGUCUGGUCCUCGAGCGUAUGGGGCUCUGUCACUCGCUUGGGAAGGACCUGCGGGGGUUGGUCACCACCAUAUUUCACCACGGUUGACCUCGGAUCAGGUAGGAGUUACCCGCUGAACUUAAGC